GCCUGAGUGGCUCAGUUGGUUGAGUGUCUGACUUCGGCUCAGGUCACGAUCACAUGGUUUGGGUUCGAGCCCCGCAUCGGGCU
This 83-nucleotide transfer RNA is filed under the name Felis catus (domestic cat). It matches the Rfam family "tRNA". From Rfam's summary of the family: Transfer RNA (tRNA) molecules are approximately 80 nucleotides in length. Their secondary structure includes four short double-helical elements and three loops (D, anti-codon, and T loops). RNAcentral also lists the same sequence under 4 other names. The record is from Rfam by way of RNAcentral. Lineage: Eukaryota; Metazoa; Chordata; Mammalia; Carnivora; Felidae.